AACGAACGCUGGCGGCGGGCCUCAUACAUGCAAGUCGAGCGCGAAAGUCCGCAAGGAUGAGUAAAGCGGCGCACGGGUGAGUAACACGUGGAUAAUCUACCCUUUGGAUUGGAAUAACCUGUCGAAAGACGGGCUAAUGCCGAGUAAGCUUACGAGUUCGUGAAGUUCUUGUAAGGAAAGAUGGCGCAAGCUAUCGCCGAUGGAUGAGUCUGCGUCCCAUUAGUUAGUUGGUGGGGUAAUGGCUUACCAAGACUAUGAUGGGUACCUGGUCUGAGAGGAUGACCAGGCACACUGGAACUGAAACACGGUCCAGACUCCUACGGGAGGCAGCAGUGGGGAAUCUUAGACAAUGGGGGCAACCCUGAUCUAGCCAUGCCGCGUGAGUGAUGAAGGCCCUAGGGUUGUAAAGCUCUUUCAGCUGGGAAGAUAAUGACGGUACCAGCAGAAGAAGCCCCGGCUAACUCCGUGCCAGCAGCCGCGGU
Molecule: ribosomal RNA, 482 nt
Filed under: uncultured bacterium
Lineage: Bacteria
Description: bacterial SSU rRNA
Rfam family: Bacterial small subunit ribosomal RNA
Source: RNAcentral